GUUGUCCAAAGGAUCCAGAUAACUAUAGAGCUAUAACAUUAAUUAGUUGUAUAGGGAAAUUAUUCACUUCCAUAAUCAAUACUCGAUUGAAUUUUUUUGCAAAUGAAAUUUCACUUAUACAUGAAAAUCAGGCGGGUUUUAGAAAGGGGUAUUCAACUGUAGACAAUAUUUUUGUGCUUCAUGCACUCAUAGAGCUGUAUUUCUCAUUUGGAAAAAAACUUUUUUGUACUUUUGUAGACUUUCGGAAAGCAUUCGAUACUGUAUCAAGAUCUGGUUUAUGGGAAAAACUUCAAUUGAGUAAUAUUAAAGGGAAGUGCUUUAAAGUUAUUUUUAAUAUGUACCAAGGAAUCAAAUCA
This 356-nucleotide long non-coding RNA is filed under the name Mytilus galloprovincialis (Mediterranean mussel). The record is from RNAcentral. Lineage: Eukaryota; Metazoa; Mollusca; Bivalvia; Mytilida; Mytilidae.